Molecule: long non-coding RNA, 496 nt
Organism: Astatotilapia calliptera (eastern happy)
Lineage: Eukaryota; Metazoa; Chordata; Actinopteri; Cichliformes; Cichlidae
Source: Ensembl
AUGGCUAGGACUGAAUUCAUUUACCAUUUGUCACUUGCAUAUAUUGUUAUUUUGUGUUCUGUUAUGUUUUAGUCAAUCAUAAUGCUUUAAUGUAAACACAGCACAUGUAACCUUGGCUCUGCAUACUAUCUCUGUUUGUGGUAGCAUUGGUUACAUUCAGUACAUCUGUGUUCCUAAAGCUAAAUGUCACUUAAUCAUUAGUCGAUUUGAAUCUUUCAUUUGUUUAUGUAGUUUGGUUAUAUUUACCACUGUGUGUUCCUUUGUGCAGGUCCUAUAUGUGAAACAGGGGCUCGGCUGUGAUUGGUGGACCUAAGGAACGACCUGAUGUAACUGGUUCCUGCUGUGGACAUGAACUAUAAAAGGGCGACUGAAAAGCUGCGGUGCGGGGGGUGUGGCAGACUUCCCGUGCACUUGCCUCAGGUCCAGACGGAGCGGCCGUAGCUAUUUGGUUAAAAGAACGCACAUGAGCUGUACCACAAGAACAUCAACUGCAUGC